AUGUGUGGGAGAUUUGGCUUUUGCAGACGCUGGAGAGAUGGAUUAUUUUGGGAUGCUACAGGAUCCCUUACCGGGGUGGGUCAGUGCCAUGCGGAGAGAGUCCAAGGCCGUGUCCAAAGCCUGGAGCAAGGCCAAUCCGCACACGCAAUCUCACACGGGAGGGACGCUGGAAAAGCUAAUUACCGGGGGGUAAUUGCACCCUGGGCCACAAAGCGGAAGGGUCGCUCCCGGGCCGGCGCUGUCGGAUCGGGGGAGCUGCGGGCGACCAGGGACAGGGAGCGGGGAGCUGAGGGGAGCGGGGAAGGUUUGGGGUUAGAGGUUGGCUCCACACAAAGGAGCGAGCGGCUGGAAGCCGGUUCGACGCCGGGAGCCAAUCGCUGCUGCGGCCCCGCGAUAAAAGGGCUCGGAGCCGGCGGUGGCAGCGCAGGAAGCGGCUCCGCUCCACGGCCGCGGCCUCUGCCUCUGCGGCGGGACACGGGCACCGAGCCCCGGGCACCAGAGCCCCGGCACGGCCCCGCCCGGCCCCGCGGAUCCUCCUGCUCGGCGGUGAGCUCGGCUCGUGGGCAGCGAGGGCGGCGGGAGGCGGCUGCGAGACAAUGCCGGCCCCGGUGUGGGGAGCGAGGGGUUCGCUCUCCCCGGGGAUUUCCGACCGCGCAGCGCUGGCAGAGCUGGGGGCAGCCGGAGCCACCAGCGGGGGGGGAGAGACACGGGCGGGCGGGGAGAAGGGAUGGAGGGGAGCCAGGAACGCUCGGGGCGCCCCGGGCACCCGCAGAGCGGGGCUCGUCCCCGCGGUACCGGCGGCGCUCGGCUGCGGGAGGGGGCUCGGCCCGGGGGUCGCGGGAGGCAGACCGGAGGUCUGGAAGGGAGGUGUUGGGAGCCGGGGCAGGCGCUGCCGGAGCCCCGGAGCCGGCUGGGGAGCGGGGUGAGCUCCCGGACCGAGUGAGCCCCGGCGGGGGCUGGCACCCGCUGCGGCCGCAGGCCUGCGCUGCCCGGCUCUGCUCCGGGGGUGCCGAUUUGGGCGCGUAUUUCGGGGCUCCCGCUCCCCGAUUGGGCUUAAUUCCCUUUGUUGUGUGCUGCAGUACAUGCUGGAGGAGGGCUGGACAGAUCCAUUUUAUUAAGCUGAUCAGAAGGAGCAGAGAUGGAAGAAAAAACCUGUUAGAUCCCGACUCCCUUAUCCCCCGCCGUUAA
Molecule: long non-coding RNA, 1188 nt
Filed under: Parus major (Great Tit)
Lineage: Eukaryota; Metazoa; Chordata; Aves; Passeriformes; Paridae
Description: lncRNA (ENSPMJG00000017622.1)
Source: RNAcentral